GAUCCUGGCUCAGGACGAACGCUGGCGGCGCGCCUAACACAUGCAAGUCGAACGAGCAAAGAGGAGCUUGCUUCUCUGAGCGAGUGGCGAACGGGUGAGUAACGCGUGAGGAACCUGCCUCAAAGAGGGGGACAACAGUUGGAAACGACUGCUAAUACCGCAUAAGCCCACGGGUCGGCAUCGACCAGAGGGAAAAGGAGCAAUCCGCUUUGAGAUGGCCUCGCGUCCGAUUAGCUAGUUGG
Molecule: ribosomal RNA, 242 nt
Filed under: uncultured bacterium
Lineage: Bacteria
Description: partial 16S ribosomal RNA
Rfam family: Bacterial small subunit ribosomal RNA
Source: RNAcentral